This 498-nucleotide ribosomal RNA is filed under the name uncultured bacterium. Its description in RNAcentral is "bacterial SSU rRNA". It matches the Rfam family "Bacterial small subunit ribosomal RNA", at positions 15 to 507 of the family's 1533-position model. The record is from RNAcentral.
GAUCAUGGCUCAGGAUGAACGCUAGCGGCAGGCUUAACACAUGCAAGUCGAGGGGCAGCGGGGAGUAGCAAUACUCUGCCGGCGACCGGCGAAAGGGUGCGUAACGCGUGAGCGACAUACCCGUGACUGGGGCAUAACCGAUGGAAACGUUGACUAAUUCCCCAUAACACAUCGUGCUGCAUGGCAUGAUGUUGAAAAUUUCGAUGGUCACGGAUGGGGAUGCGUCUGAUUAGCUUGUUGGCGGGGUAACGGCCCACCAAGGCGACGAUCAGUAGGGGUUCUGAGAGGAAGGUCCCCCACAUUGGAACUGAGACACGGUCCAAACUCCUACGGGAGGCAGCAGUGAGGAAUAUUGGUCAAUGGACGGAAGUCUGAACCAGCCAAGUAGCGUGCAGGACGACGGCCCUAUGGGUUGUAAACUGCUUUUAUGUGGGAAUAAAGUGAGGGACGUGUCCCUUUUUGUAGGUACCACAUGAAUAAGGACCGGCUAAUUCCGUG